Molecule: long non-coding RNA, 331 nt
Filed under: Bos taurus (domestic cattle)
Lineage: Eukaryota; Metazoa; Chordata; Mammalia; Artiodactyla; Bovidae
Description: long non-coding RNA NONBTAT020443
Source: RNAcentral
GACCCCUGAGGCUUUCACUGUAAAGGACUAGGCUCGUCUCCGUCUGAUGAGAGGGGUUAGGUCCAGGGCCCCGGACCCCUGAGGCUUUCACUGUAAAGGACUAGGCUCGUCUCCGUCUGAUGAAUCCGCUCCACACACACGCAGGUAUGCCGGAGGUGGGGGCCAGAGCUGCCCCAGGUGGCGGCCGGCCCAGGGUCUCUUCCACGUCUGGGUCUGAUGAUCACGGCUCUGAGACCUGGACAAGCCUUGAUUUCCUCUGAAGGGGUUUGGUGACGGCCUGAUGCGUGAGAGGAAGUGUUGGCAGGACACCUAUCCUUGGGGGGCUGGGGGU